GUGCUCACUUCAUGAGCAUAUGCAUUUAAAUUAUCAUGACAUAGAGAAGAUUGGCAUGGCCUUUGCCCAAGGAUGACAUGUAAACUCAUGAAAUGUUCAAACUUUUU
Molecule: small nuclear RNA, 107 nt
Organism: Jaculus jaculus (lesser Egyptian jerboa)
Lineage: Eukaryota; Metazoa; Chordata; Mammalia; Rodentia; Dipodidae
Source: Ensembl